GAUGAACGCUGGCGGCGUGCCUAAUACAUGCAAGUCGAACGAACAGACGAGGCGCUUUCUUCUCGGAUGGUAGCGGCGGAAGUGUUAGUAACGCGCGUAUACCCUCGUGAUGGAACUCUGAUCACUUCGGGAGACCGUAGCGAAUACCAGCUAAUGUAUUAAACCGGAGGGUUCAAUAGUGCGAGCCGGUUUUGCUGUCAAUUUCAGAUUGGUCCGCGCCGGAUUAGCUAGUUGGUAAGGUAACGGCUUACCAAGGCAACGAUGCGUAGCCGAUCUGAGAGGACGAUCAGCCACACUGGAACUGAGACACGGUCCAGACUCCUACGGGAGGCAGCAGUAGGGAAUUUUGCGCAAUGGGCGAAAGCCUGACCCAGCAAUGCCGCGUGAAGGAUGAAGGUCUUCGGAUCGUAAACUGCUGUUAUACGGAAAGAAACGAUGUGUAAGAAAACACGCACCUCAUGACGGUACCGUAACAGUAAGCACCGGCUAACUACGUG
RNAcentral lists this ribosomal RNA (497 nucleotides) under uncultured bacterium. RNAcentral describes it as "partial 16S ribosomal RNA". It matches the Rfam family "Bacterial small subunit ribosomal RNA", at positions 28 to 507 of the family's 1533-position model. The record is from RNAcentral.